ACGCUGGCGGUAACUUUUAAACAUGCAGUCGAGCGGUAACAGACAUAAAGAUUCAGCUUGCUGAAUCCGGUGCUGACGAGCGGCGAACGGGUGAGUAACGCGUAGGAAUCUACCCAGUAGCGGGGGAUAGCCCGAGGAAACUCGGAUUAAUACCGCAUACGCCCUGAGGGGGAAAGGGGGCAGUUUACUGCUCUCACUAUUGGAUGAGCCUGCGUAAGAUUAGCUUGUUGGUGGGGUAAUGGCCUACCAAGGCAAUGAUCUUUAGCUGGUCUGAGAGGACGAUCAGCCACAUUGGGACUGAGACACGGCCCAGACAUCUACGGAUGGCAGCAGUUAAGAAUAUUGGACAAUGGGGGCAACCCUGAUCCAGGUAUACCGCGUGUGUGAAGAAGGCCCUAGGGUUGUAAAGCACUUUAAUCAGAGAAGAAGCAUUUUAAGUUAAUACCUUAAUAUGUUGACGUUACCUGAAGAAUAAGGACCGG
Molecule: ribosomal RNA, 482 nt
Filed under: uncultured Moraxellaceae bacterium
Lineage: Bacteria; Pseudomonadati; Pseudomonadota; Gammaproteobacteria; Moraxellales; Moraxellaceae
Description: bacterial SSU rRNA
Rfam family: Bacterial small subunit ribosomal RNA
Source: RNAcentral